UACGGAGGGUGCAAGCGUUGCUCGGAUUUAUUGGGCGUAAAGGGUAGGUAGGUGGUCUCAUUUGUCUGGGGUGAAAGCCUUGAGCUUAACUCGAGAAGUGCCCCAGAAACGGUGAGACUGGAGUCCUGGAGAGGGUCGUGGAAUUCCCGGUGUAGCGGUGAAAUGCGUAGAGAUCGGGAGGAACACCAGAGGCGAAAGCGGCGACCUGGACAGGCACUGACACUCAACUACGAAAGCGUGGGGAGCAAACAGG
This 253-nucleotide ribosomal RNA is filed under the name uncultured bacterium. RNAcentral's name for it is "partial 16S ribosomal RNA". It matches the Rfam family "Bacterial small subunit ribosomal RNA", at positions 524 to 776 of the family's 1533-position model. The record is from RNAcentral.